RNA transcript from Formica exsecta, 1759 nucleotides. It is a transcript of the gene named aldo-keto reductase family 1 member A1-like, with no coding region annotated. The transcript has 10 exons. The record is from RefSeq and is a predicted model, not a curated record. Lineage: Eukaryota; Metazoa; Arthropoda; Insecta; Hymenoptera; Formicidae.
UGCGAUACUAUAUAUGACAACGAUGCGCGGAGAUCUUGGAGACAUGCGUGUUUUUGUUAGAGUAUACGACUAUUCUAAUUUUAGAAAACGGCCUAUCCAGGAGUAACACAUUUACCUCUGACAUCCAUACUUAAUUAAGAAGAAUUAGCACGAAUAUCGAGAAGAGAAUCUCAACAAGCAUGCGUUCUGUACGGUUGCUAUCUGGAUACAAUAUGCCGACAGUGGGAUUAGGGACAUGGCAGGCUAAACCAGAAGAAAUCGAGACCGCUGUAAGCACCGCUUUGGAAUGCGGCUACAGGCAUAUCGAUACAGCGACCAAUUAUAAUAAUGAGGAAGCAAUCGGUAAAGCUUUAAAAAAAUGGUUUGAAAAAGGUGGUACUAGGAAGGAACUUUUUAUCACGACGAAGUUGCCCCAUUUUGGUAAUCGACCAUCCGAUGUAGAAAAAUUCAUCAAGUUAUCAUUGGAGAAACUUGGAUUGGAUUACUUAGAUAUGUAUCUUGUUCAUUUGCCAUUUACAUUUAAGUUUGACGAAAAGACGGGCGCUGCAGCGACCCAUGAAGAUGGAAGUUAUAUACUCGACUUUGAUACAGAUCCUGUCUCAGUAUGGAAGGAAAUGGAGAAGCAAGUUAAAUCAGGGCGUACUAGAUCCAUAGGUUUGAGUAACUUUAACGAGGAGCAAAUUUCGACUAUUUGGGAAAACGCACAGAUUAAACCAAGUAAUCUACAGGUGGAAUUACACGCGUAUAUGCAACAGAAAUCAAUUCGAGAUUUGUGCAAGAAGCACAAUAUUGUUAUAACAGGUUACAGUCCAUUGGGCUCUCCAGCUGCAAAGACACACUUUGAGACAAAAUAUAAAUAUACUUUAGAAAAAUCUCCCGACUUAUUAAAUCAUCCGGUCAUACAAGAUAUCGCCGCAAGACAUAAAAAAACAACAGCACAAGUCUUAUUACGUUAUUUACUGCAACUGGACAUUGUAAUUAUUCCCAAAAGCUCGUCUCCCGAAAGAAUCAAGUCCAAUAUCGACUUAUUUGAUUUUGUCUUAACAGAGGAUGAUAUGAAAGUCCUAAGUACUUUAGAUAAAGGUGCUAAUGGCAGAAUUUUUAACUUCUUAUUCUUUAAAGGAGUUCAAGACCAUCCACAUUAUCCAUUUAAAAACGAACUUUCAUAAUUGUAAAUUAACAUGCGAUCAUUAGUUUUUUAAUAAAAUAGUUGAAAAAGAAUUAUGUAACAUAUGCAACAAAAGCACAACGUUAUACGUAUUAUAAAUUAGAGACAUUUCCGUUGUUCUCUUCAAUGCAAUCUGUACAACAUUUUACGUUGCAAACGAUGUUGCAGUUCACCGCGACGUAUCAUUAUACCUGAUGUCCGAUAGGAAAUCUGCUUUUCAAUUGCUUUUCGAUGCGCGACAACAUUUCAUGAUCUUCUUCUGAGCAUACCUGCUAAUGAUCCAGACAUUGCUGCUUCUAAUGUAGACACUUGGAAGAGUCUUAGAGCCUCAUUAACAUGGAGUUCAGUAACAAAGGGUUGCAAUUGCAUUUUGGCCAGGGCUUCGGAAAUUCGUAUGACAGCUUCAAGCUGCCGAACUGUUAUAGUUUUUCCCCUGCCUCUGCACUGAGUCUUGGACCACAACGCCUAUGAUAUAAAAAAAAAAUCAUAUUAGGGACACAUGUUACAUUGUAUAUGAAGUUUACGCUUGUAUGAUUAAAUGCGAUAAGAUGUGACAAAAACUUACGUUCUGCAAUAAUUAAUAUACUUUUU